This is a long non-coding RNA of Arabidopsis thaliana (thale cress), 453 nucleotides long. RefSeq annotates it as other RNA. Lineage: Eukaryota; Viridiplantae; Streptophyta; Magnoliopsida; Brassicales; Brassicaceae. The transcript has a single exon. The record is from RefSeq.
AGGAAGAUUGUUAAUGUAGCGGCUAGGAGCUGAGUUGAAGUGAAACCCCUUUGGAAGACAAUCGUUCAUCGCUCCACCGCGAAAUGCGCCUUGUUCGCUACCUUUUAUGUAAAUUGUAUUCGUGCUCAUGUGACCCGGAUUAUUGGAUUCCAAUAAAGGUCUUGAUGCACAGACAACGUUUGUUCGAGGAGAAAUAAGGAACAAAAAGAGUAACAUGAAGAAGGAAAUGUAGCUCGACAUUUACUGAAGUUAGCUAUCAAUCUUUGCUCUAUAAUAUCUUGUAUUCUUGUGAGGAAUAUAUGCUCUAUUUAUAUAUGAGUGGGUGUGUUUGCUUGUGAUCAUUGUAUUGACCAAGUUACGUAUGUGUAUCCUUGCGUGGUGAGCUUUGAAAUAGAACAACUCACAUAGAACACUUUUUCGAUCAUGCUCGUGCUUCUCAUUACGCCAAACCUU